Molecule: long non-coding RNA, 2146 nt
Filed under: Gallus gallus (chicken)
Lineage: Eukaryota; Metazoa; Chordata; Aves; Galliformes; Phasianidae
Source: RNAcentral
CUCAGUCAGUAUGCAGCCUCUUCCCCUCCCUAUGGCACUGCCCACAGUAAUACAACGGGUGGUCAUGACGGCUUCCUUUGAAGAAUACUGAGAAAUGGAUCGUUCUGCUGAGCACAAUGACAAUUUGUUAACGUAGAGACUAUUGUAACUACCCUUUCCACAUCUAUUAGGCCCCAAUUCAAAGAAAUAUUUACAUGCAUUUUUACCUGUAAGCAUAUACUUGAGUCCUAAAGCUGCAUUUAAGUGUUGUCCUAAAUAGCCUCUUACUGUUUAUUCCUAUGGAUGGAAAAAACAUCUCCCGCAUAUCCACAACAAAUAUAUAGGCAGUAACAAAACCCUUAUUCAUUCAACCUCCCCCCAACCAAUAUAAGCUUCUCAAGCUCACCACAAAUUUGCUUUAAAUACUAAAAGAAAGAAGUAGCUUUCUUCUAGUGCAGUAAGACUCUGGGUUAAGGACAACGUUAGAAAUUAAGAUUUUGGGUCUUGAACUGAGAGAGUUUUUAUUCUUUUGAACAAAUUAAGUAAAAAACAGCAGCAGCCACCUGAAACAGUCCUGGCUCUAACUGAAGUGAAAUUUGAAUGUAAAUGGUCCUCCUCCAGAACCAAAGGGGUUGAAUCCUUGCCACGUGUUCCAGUUCCUGUGGAAGGGGUUGCCCCCACCCUGCUGACUCUCUGCAUCCAGGGGGUCCUCUCCUGCGUCAAAUUUCCGCCUCAUUUCUGGGUCAGUAAGGACUUCCUUAGCAGCUGCUAUAUCAAUGAAUUUUUUCUCUGCUUUCUUCUUUUCUUCCUCGCUCUGAAAGUUGUCAGGGUGCCACUGGGACGCCAGCUUUCUGUAAGCUUUUAUGAUUUCUUGCUUUCUAGCAUUUCUUUUUACUCCUAAAAUUUUAUAGUAAUCUCUCUUCUGUGACUGCUUCAACAUCCUCUGGGCUCUUUCCAGCCCCUCUCGAAUCUGUUGGUCAUUUUCACUAUUGGCUUGAGCCGUUUCGUAGUCUUUAAUAGCUUCUUCAUAAAGGUCUUCCAGCAAAUAAGCUUCUGCUCUGUCCUUCAGGGCAUUCACAUUGGUUGGUUCCAGCUGCAGAACUUGUGUACAAACUGUUAUGGCUUCUGUAGCCUGCUGAUUCUUUGACAAACAGUGACAGAUCCUUUCUUUGGCACGAGUAGCGUAAACUGGGACAUCUGGCUCAGUUUUCAUUACAGAGUCAUAUUUACUGAUAGCAUCUUCAUAUCUGCCUUCUCUGAUGAAUUCCUCCGCUGACUCAAUCUGCUUAUUGAGUUUCUUUACUUGUUUAUAAAGGGAGAAACACUGCUUAUGGUCUUGGUCAAGCUUCAGACACUCCCGGACUUCACUGAGCGAUAAUUCAUGGUCCCCCAGCUGAUAAUAUAUUCUGCUGAUUUUAUAGAAGGCUUCGGUGUUAUCACUCUUUAAUUUGGCAGCAGCUUUCAAGUCACUAAUUGCUUUGCUUGGCUCCCCUUCCUUUAUAUAACACUCAGCUCGAAGUUCCCGUAGCUCUGCAUCCCAAACACAAACUGCCAAGAUUUCAUCAAGAAGAGGAAUUGCAGCUUCAUAAUCCUCUUGCCGGUAUGCAGACAAUGCUUGUGAAUACAGGCGCUGAAGCUCAUCAGAUUUCGUCAGCUGAGUUUGGGCUUCUUUCUCCUCAUUAUUGCUGGGAUUGGAUUUGAGCACAUUUUUAAAGUCAUCUUCUGCUUCAUCAAAUUUUCCUUGCUUGAGGAGUAGAUGGCCCCUCUGUAAUCUUGCGGAUGUGAAGUCCUGCUUUAAUUCAACCACUUUACUUAAGUCACGAAUUGCUGCUUUAGAUUUGCCCAUGGCUAAGUACACUGUGGCUCUUCUGUAAUAAGCAAUGUAGUUAUCAGAGUCUCCCUCUAUAGCUGCAUGAAAAUGAGACAGGGCAUCUGCUAGUUGUCCAGCAGCCAAUAACUUCUUCCCCAUUUCAAGCUGUUUUUCUACUUCGGCAUUUAUUCCACACUCAGCCCCCUGGUACUGCAGAUCGAGGAGCACCAGCAGGAAGGGCAACGCGGAGCCUAAGCGGCCGGCAGAGGCCGCGGCUGACACCAUCGCCGCCGACGCCCGCGGCCGCAGUGGCGGCGCCCCGGCCCGACGGCUUCGACUCGUGCGGGGAGGGUCGUG